This 377-nucleotide ribosomal RNA is filed under the name uncultured eukaryote. Its description in RNAcentral is "partial 18S ribosomal RNA". It matches the Rfam family "Eukaryotic small subunit ribosomal RNA", at positions 592 to 976 of the family's 1831-position model. The record is from RNAcentral.
CAAUAGCGUAUAUUUAAGUUGCUGCAGUUAAAAAGCUCGUAGUUGGAUUUCGGGUGGGAAUGGCCGGUCCGCCGUUUCGGUGUGCACUUGCUACGCCCACCUUGCUGCCGGGGACGUGCUCUUGAGUUCACGCUCGGGACACGGAGUCGGCGAGGUUACUUUGAGUAAAUUAGAGUGUUCAAAGCAGGCCUACGCUCUGAAUACAUUAGCAUGGAAUAACACGAUAGGACUCUGGCCUAUCUUUUUGGUCUGUAGGACCGGAGUAAUGAUUAAGAGGGACAGUCGGGGGCAUUCGUAUUUCAUUGUCAGAGGUGAAAUUCUUGGAUUUAUGAAAGACGAACUACUGCGAAAGCAUUUGCCAAGGAUGUUUUCAUUAA